This is a long non-coding RNA of Lolium rigidum, 505 nucleotides long. RefSeq lists it as uncharacterized. NCBI's taxonomy places the organism in Eukaryota, Viridiplantae, Streptophyta, Magnoliopsida, Poales, Poaceae. The transcript has 2 exons. The record is from RefSeq and is a predicted model, not a curated record.
ACUCAUGUCGGACACAGACCCACACCGCCACCGCCGGUCGCGCCCAGAUCGCCGCGGCCGUUCACAUAUCCCAUCGCAGAUCAAGACGCCUGCUUCUACCUUGUUGCGGCGGCGCUAGGGCACGUGAGCGGCAAUCGGCGAUGAGGGAGGCAAGUAUUCUUCCAUGUAUUUGAAGGGAUGCGGCCGGUAUCGAGGAAACACGAAGGAACAACUUCCUGCCGGAUCGACUUGGUGGUUGCUUGCGUGCAUGUGUCCAUCAAUGGUACAUCAAUGGUUUUUAUACAGAGAGUUUUGAUGAAGUACGUGACUGGAUCUUGGUGUUUGUUAAAUUUGAGACUGAGCAAAGGUCACUACUUCCUUCUAUGCAAAAAUUGAUGCCCUUCCUCUGUUUUUGUAGCCCGAUUCAAGGUGUUGUUAUAUCAUACAGUAGCAAUGGACUAUUACAGUGUAGUUCCCAUUAGAUUGAUUUAUUUAUUACUAAUUCAUAUGGCUAUCUGACUUUUAA